Molecule: ribosomal RNA, 527 nt
Filed under: Melanoides maculata
Lineage: Eukaryota; Metazoa; Mollusca; Gastropoda; Thiaridae
Description: partial large subunit ribosomal RNA
Rfam family: Bacterial large subunit ribosomal RNA (bases 159-527)
Source: RNAcentral
GACUUGAGGUCAGACGGAGGGGGUCUGUAUAGAAAAAUUUUUGUUUUUUGUUUCCCCGCCCGCGCCCCCUUUUUUAAACAAUGCCUUAUUUUUGAAGGCAAGCCCGCGCGGCCUGCCGAAAACAAUAAUGUCUCUUCUUUAUUAUCUAGAAAUUAACCUAUGGGUGAAGAGGCCUAUAUUAUAUUGAAGGACAAGAAGACCCUGUCGAGCUUUAGAGUAAAGCAGGAAUAUAAGUAUUAAAAAAAAUCAAUGACUACAUAACUCUUUAGUUGGGGCGACUAAGGAACAAAUAAAGCUUCUUUUAGUUUUUUAGAUCAAUAAAUUUAGAUCCAGCAAAGCUGAUUAAAAGAAUUAGUUACCGCAGGGAUAACAGCAUAAUCUCUCUUGAGAGACCUAAUCGAAAGAGGGGGUUGUGACCUCGAUGUUGGACUAAAAUAUCCUGAAGAUGCAGACGUCUUCGAAGGUUGGUCUGUUCGACCAUUAAAAUUUUACGUGAUCUGAGUUCAGACCGGACCCCCCCGCUUGAA